RNAcentral lists this long non-coding RNA (486 nucleotides) under Nicotiana benthamiana. RNAcentral's name for it is "long non-coding RNA (NBEN_LNC036706)". Lineage: Eukaryota; Viridiplantae; Streptophyta; Magnoliopsida; Solanales; Solanaceae. The record is from RNAcentral.
GUCUGCUGUGGAUUACAUUGGUUUCCAUUGUUCCUGCAUUAUGUAAUUUGGAUACUACCAAUUCAUUAUCACUCAUACAUUGCAUUGUGGAUGGAACAGUGUUCUGCUGUGUACAAACAUAGCCAGAAACACUCUCUAUUAUUGGCAAAGCUUUUGAAGAUGUAACAGUUGACAAACAUUGUUGUUGCUCAUUGCAUUUAAAGUGUUGUCCAUCCUUUUCAACCGACUGCUCAGUCGGUGCACCAUUUGUGAUAUAAUCAUCAGUUGAUUGUUUUUUUUAGUAUAGGCAUCAUAUGCUCGAUCCUGAGUUGUAGCCUUAGAAUUUUCCAAUUUCUGCAUCUCCUUUAAGGAUUCUGUUGGGGAUUCUAUAUGCGAGGCAUCAGCCAUUUCAUUUACUACAUCAUUCUUCAAAAUGAACUGUUGAUCAGCAUCCUUCAUAUUCAUCCCUGCAAUUUCAGAGACUUUAACUCAUGAUUCUGAUUCGUG